AAGGAUUAAGGUGGAUACCUAGGUACCCAGAGACGAGGAAGGGCGUAGUAAUCAACGAAAUGCUUCAGGGAGUUGAAAAAUAAGCAUAGAUCCGGAGAUUCCCGAAUAGGGCAACCUUUCGAACUGCUGUUGAAUACAAUGGCAGGCAAGAGACAACCUAGCAAACUGAAACAUCUUAGUAUCCACAGGAAAAGAAAGAAAAGGUGAUUCCCAUAGUAGCGGCGAGCGAAAUAGGAGUAGCCUAAACCGUGAAAAUGGGGUUGUGGGAGAGAAAUACAAGAGUCGUACUGCUAGGCGAAGAAACCUAAAUGUUGCACCCUAGUUGGCAAAAGUCCAGUAGCCGAAAGCAUCAUCACUAGCUUAUGCUCUGACCCGAGUAGCAUGGGGCACGUAGAAUCCCAUGUGAAUCAGCAACGACCACCUUGCAAGGCUAAAUACUCCGAGGUGACCGAUAGCGAAGUAGUACCGUGAGGGAAGGGUGAAUAGAAUCCCCAUCGGGCGUGAAAUAGAACAUGAAACCGUAAGCUCCCAAGCAGUGGGAGGAUCCAGGGCUCUGACUGCGUGCCUGUUGAAAAAUGAGCUCGCAACUUAUAGGCAGUGUCUUGGUUAAUGGAACCCACCGGAGCCGUAGCGAAAGCGAGUCUUCAUAGGGCAAUUGUCACUGCUUAUGGACCUGAACCUGGGUAAUCUAUCCAUGACCAAGAUGAAGCUUGGGUGAAACUAAGUGGAGGUUCGAACCGACUGAUGUUUAAGAAUCAGCGGAUGAGUUGUGGUCAGGGGUAAAAUGCCACUCAAACCCAGAGCUAGCUGGUUUUCCCCAAAAUGCGUUGAGGUGCAGCAGUUGACUGGACAUCUAGGGGUAAAGCACUAUUUUGGUACGGGCCACGAGAGCGGUACCAAAUCGAGGCAAACACUAAAUACUAGGUAUGGCCUUAAAACUAAAAAAGAGGGGUCAAAGUCGACCAGUGAGACGAUGGGGGAUAAGCUUCAUCAUCGAGAAGGAAACAACCCGGAUCACCAGCUAAGGCCCCUAAAUGGCCACUCAGUGAUAAAGGAGGUAGGGGUGCGGAGACAGCCAGGAGGUUUUCCUAGAAUUAGCCACCCUUGAAAGAGUGCGUAAUAGCUCACUGAUCGAGCGCUUUUUGCGCCGAAGAUGAAUGGGGCUAAGCGAUCUACCGAAGCUAUGGUGUGUAAAAAUACAUUGGUAGGGGAGCGUUCCACCUUAGAGGGAAGCCUACACGCGAGCGGUGAUGGACGAAGCGGAAGCGAGAAUGUCGGCUUGAGUAAUGCAAACAUUGGUGAGAAUCCAAUGCAUCAAAAACCUAAGGGUUUCUCCGCAAGGUUCGUCCAUGGAGGGUGAGUCAGGGCCUAAGAUCAAGCCGAAAGGCGUAGUCGAUGUACAAUAGGUGAAUAUUCCUAUACUACCCCUUGUUGUUCCCGAGGGACGGAGGAGGCUAGGUAAGCCGAAAGAUGGUUGUCGGUUCAAGAACGUAAGGUGUCCCUGCCAUUUUUUCAGUGUAAGAAGGGGUAGAGAAAAUGCCUCGAGUCAAUGUUCAAAUACCAGACGCUACGGCGCUGAAGUAACCCAUGCCAUACUCCCAGGAAAAGCUUGAACGACUUUGAGCAAGAGGGUACUUGUACCUGAAACCGAAACAGGUGGGUAGGUAGAGAAUACCUAAGGGCGUGAGACAACUCUCUCUAAGGAACUCAGCAAAAUAGCCCUGUAACUUCGGGAGAAGGGAUUCCUCUUCACAUCACAAAGAGGGUCGCAGUGCUUGGGCAAAUAUUUACCAAAAACAUAGAUUUUCGCAAAGUUGUAAGACCAUGUAUGGGGGCUGACGCCUACCCAGUGCUGGAAGGUCAAGGAAGUUGGUGACCUAAUGAUAGAGGAGCCGACGACCGAAGCCCCGGUGAAUGGAGGACGUAACUAUAACAGUCCUAAGGUAGCGAAAUUCCUUGUCGGGUAAGUUCCAGCCCGCACGAAAGGCGUAAUGAUCUGGGAACUGUCUCAGAGAGAGGCUCGGUGAAAUAUACAUGUUUGUGAAGAUGCGGACUACCUGCACCUGGACAGAAAGACCUUAUGAAGCUUUAAUGUUCCCUGGGAUUGGCUUUGGGCCUUUCCUGCGCAGCUUAGGUGGAAGGCGAAGAAGGCAUCCUUCCGGGGGGGCCGAGCCAUCAGUGAGAUACCACUCUGGAAGGGAUAGAAUUCUAACCUUGUGUCAGGACCUACGAGCCAAGGGACAGUCUCAGGUAGACAAAUUCUAUGAGGCGUUAGCCUCCCAAAAGGAAACAGAGGUGUGCAAAGGUUUCCUCAGGCCGGAUGGAGAUUGGCCCUCGAGUGCAAAGGCAGAAGGGAGCUUGACAGCAAGACCCAACCGUCGACCAGGGACGAAAGUUAGCCUUAGUGAUCCGACGGUGCCGAGUGGAAGGGCUGUCGCCCAACGAAUAAAAAUUACUCCAGGAAUAACAAGCUGAUCUUCCCCAAGAGCUCACAUCAACGGGAAGGUUUGGAACCUCGAUGUCGAAUCUUCACCACCUGGGGUUGUAGUAUGUUCCAAGGGUUGGGCAGUUCGCCUAUUAAAGCGGUACGUGAGCUGGGUUCAGACGUCGUGAGACAGUUCGGUCCAUAUCCGGUGUGGGAGUUAGAUCAUUGAGAGGACUUUUCCCUAGUACGGGAGGAUCGGGAAGGAACACUUCUGGUGUACCAGUUAUCAUGCCCAUGGUAAAUACUGGGUAGCCAAGUGCGGACCGGAUUACUGCUGAAAGCAUCUAAGUAGUAAGCCUACCACAAAAUGAGUGCUCUCCUAUUUCGACUUCCCUAGAGCUUUU
This 2829-nucleotide ribosomal RNA is filed under the name Capsicum baccatum. Its description in RNAcentral is "bacterial LSU rRNA". It matches the Rfam family "Bacterial large subunit ribosomal RNA". The record is from RNAcentral. Lineage: Eukaryota; Viridiplantae; Streptophyta; Magnoliopsida; Solanales; Solanaceae.